GAUGAACGCUAGCUACAGGCUUAACACAUGCAAGUCGAGGGGUAGCACGGAGGAAGCUUGCUUCCUUGGGUGACGACCGGCGCACGGGUGAGUAACGCGUAUCCGACCUACCCAUAACUCGGGCACAGCCGCUCGAAAGAGUGAUUGAUUCCCGAUAUGUCAUUGGAGUAGAUUCAAUGAUGAAAGAUUUAUCGGUUAUGGAUGGGGAUGCGUAAGAUUAGGUAGUAGGCGGGGUAACGGCCCACCUAGCCGACGAUCUUUAGGGGUUCUGAGAGGAAGGUCCCCCACACUGGUACUGAGACACGGACCAGACUCCUACGGGAGGCAGCAGUGAGGAAUAUUGGUCAAUGGGCGGAAGCCUGAACCAGCCAAGUAGCGUGAAGGAUUACAGCCCUACGGGUUUUAAACUUCUUUUAUAUAAGAGUAAUGUGCACUACGUGUAGUGUAUUGCAAGUAUUAUAUGAAUAAGCAUCGGCUAACUCCGUG
RNAcentral lists this ribosomal RNA (486 nucleotides) under uncultured bacterium. RNAcentral describes it as "bacterial SSU rRNA". It matches the Rfam family "Bacterial small subunit ribosomal RNA", at positions 28 to 507 of the family's 1533-position model. The record is from RNAcentral.